Non-coding RNA from Pelobates cultripes (western spadefoot toad), 772 nucleotides. The record is from the annotation of a GenBank genome assembly. Lineage: Eukaryota; Metazoa; Chordata; Amphibia; Anura; Pelobatidae.
UGAGAGGGGAUAUGAUAACAUUAUACAAAUAUAUUCGGGGCCAAUACAAACCAUUGUGUGGAAAUCUAUUUACAAACCGGACUUUACAUAGGACACGAGGUCAUGAGUUUAGACUGGAAGAAAGAAGAUUUCGUCUAAGGCAAAGGAAAGGUUUUUUUACUGUAAGAACAAUCAGGAUGUGGAAUUCUCUAGAUGCAUACUUGCAAGAACAGAAUAUUCAAGGAUAUAAUCUUUCAAUGUAGGGUAAUAACUGCUUGAUCCAAGGAUAAAUCUGACUGCCAUUCUGGGGUCAAGAAGGAAUUUUUUUCCUAGCUUGUUGCAAAAUUGUGCUUCAAACUGGGUUUUUUUGCCUUUUUUUGGAUCAACAGCAAAUAACAAAUGUGAGGUAGGCUGAACUUGAUGGACGCAAGUCUCUUUUCAGCUAUGUAACUAUGUAACUAUGGUCCCAUGCCCAAAACAGUUCCAAAGAAUCAGGGCUAGCGGUCGGUCUAGUUCGGUAGUUUUAAAACGAACAAACUACCGAACUUAGUCAAUGGUCUUACCCUGGAGCUAGUUUCCCUUGUUCAGACGAAUGAUUCCACUGAACAGUGCCCUUCUAACUUGUGUAGAACCGAACUCAGGCGAUAAUGGAAGUCCAGCGGUGUUCAGGAGUUUCUGUGUCCGAUUUUAGUUCCAUGAGAUUCAUGCCCAAACAUCACUGCCUGCAUUCAUGCGAACAAGAUGGCCACCACCUUGUGGUCGUCCAUAGGAAUUGUGGCGACCCAGACGAACA